CAGAGGAAAGUGGAAUUCCCAGUGUAGAGGUGAAAUUCGUAGAUAUUCGGAAGAACACCGGUGGCGAAGGCGGCUCCCUGGGCCAGUACUGACGCUGAUGCACGAAAGCGUGGGGAGCAAACAGGAUUAGAUACCCUGGUAGUCCACGCCCUAAACGAUGUCAACUAGGUGUU
This 173-nucleotide ribosomal RNA is filed under the name uncultured bacterium. RNAcentral's name for it is "partial 16S ribosomal RNA". It matches the Rfam family "Bacterial small subunit ribosomal RNA", at positions 652 to 824 of the family's 1533-position model. The record is from RNAcentral.